Molecule: long non-coding RNA, 1380 nt
Filed under: Phascolarctos cinereus (koala)
Lineage: Eukaryota; Metazoa; Chordata; Mammalia; Diprotodontia; Phascolarctidae
Description: lncRNA (ENSPCIG00000031541.1)
Source: RNAcentral
UUUGGGUAAUAUCAUACUUGUUUAAAGUUGUGUUACAAUUAAUAAUGUUAAAAGGGAAAUGGCUUGUGGUUUAUCUUCUCCAUGUCAUCAGAGAAACAUGGCAUGACUGAAACAUUUAAGAUCCUAUAUGCACUGUGUUAAAAUGGAUUCUUUCAUAUAUCUAUGUAUGUAUUGGGGCCUGUGGAUUAAUGUAAGGUAUGCAUAUUGUUGUUUGCUCUUGUUUACUAUUUAGGGGGGAGUAGGAACUCAGGGCAGAUGGCACUAAUUCUUCCUUAACCAAGUUCCUGCAGGGACUCCAGAAAGAAAACACAGAGGCCACUACUGAUCAUACUUCUCUUGUGUUUGUUUGGUCCAUGUUUACUAAAUAUUCUUGCCAGAUUCCUUUCUUCUAGGGUCGGAGCCAUCAACUUCCAGAUGACUGUAUACCAACCCAAGGUCUCUAGUCCACUGAACCUGGCAUCAGCCAGGUUUUGAAGUUUGACCCCUCGAAUGGGACCCAGAGAGGCAGGGACAGCUCUACGCCCCUUGCCAGCAGGAAGCAGUUUCAGAAGCAGAGACCUCCGCCCCUUUUCACCAAAAGAAUUUGGUUCCUAUUUGUUUGAGGGGGGGAUGAUGGGGGCGGGGCCCAAACCAAGAUCUUCGCUCUUUGCCUCAAAGGGAAUCUGACUCACAGGCCCCAGACCCUCAUCUCCCUUUGAAAGCCUUAGCCUUACCUUUUAAUCUUAUUCAGAUCUGGCUCCCUUUUGUCUAUAGGCCCCAGAAAGGCCUUCCUUUAUCUCCUUUUGAAAGUCCUAGCCCCACCUUGAUUUUGUGCAGAUGCCUUUCAAACUUCUGCCUUCCUGUUCCCUCCAUUAUCUAUUCCCACUGUCUAUUCAAUCUCCCUUGACCCCCCCUGCAUUUCCCUAUUUUCCACUACCCCUCCCUGUUUCACAUGCCCCCACCUACUUGCCCAUCCCCCCUUUUCCUUGGUUCUCCUUCCCUUUUCCUCUGGCUCCUAGUAGGACCCCUCAGGCAGAUCCUCCUCACCCCUCGAUUAUGAGACUGCUCCGAGCCAUCCAUAGCGUUUUCCCAUAGCCCAGACUCGGAAAAUUGUCGGUGGGAACAACCUAAGUUGACCGUGGGGGAUGUCCAAGGAAAAGGUACCUGUCUUACCUCAUCCACCACAUCCCUGAAAACUUCUCCUUACUCUCCUGUCUGUAAUAGUACUGUGGUUGUUCCCCAAUCCUCCUCCUCUUUUUAUUCAGGGCCAUCCGGCACUUGGUGGGCCUGUCUGGAUGGGAUCACACAGUGUGUCUCCGCUGCAGUGUUCCUAAAAGAAUCUGAGCCUCUAUGUAUAUUAGUCUCCAUUAUCCCCAGGGUCUCCCUUCUUCAGGGCCCGGA